AGUCUGCUGGAUUCUCGAGGUACGGUGGGGGGAGGGAGCUCCCACAGUUUUGCUCCCCCAGUUUCCUCCCUCCGGGGAAAAACCGUGAGAGGAGAACGACCCGGCAGCGGCAGAUCUCGCGAGAGAGACUGACGUGACUUGAGCGUUGCCGAGGCAAUGGCGGGAGGCUUAAACUGCUGAACCGCGCUGCCACCAGGCUGAGAGAGCAGGAGAGCCAGCGUGUGUGAGUGCGGUAAGGACAGAGCCAGCGCUAUAGGCUACAGGGCAGAGCAGCUUUAACCAUCUGUCUUCUUACUUCAAACAUGUGAUUAGUCAUUAGAAUUGGUAUCUUUCUCAUACCCUUCAUCUGUCCUGAGCUUCCAAGCUCCCAGCAGAGACAGUGCAGACCACCAUCACGCCAUGUGUACUUUUCAUGUACUGACCACAAAGCAAGUGCUGGAAGUGAAGGAUUCCGAAGAGAGUCAAUUCAAUACACACAGAGACUUGCGCUCUCAGGACAACGUGGCAGCUGAUGUGACCAAGGAGAAAGGACCAAGGAGAGAAUUCAAUAUGCUGAAGAACUUGCUUAAAUGCUUUCUAGAUUAUAGAUAGAAGAAUAGGAUUAGAACAAGUAUCAAAUAUAUAUUCUUUUAUGAACUUCUAGUUAAAUGGAGAUCACCUAUUAAUUCUCUGUGUACCAAAUAUUCUUUGUCAGGCAUGCUAAUAAUAAAAAUCCGUUAACUGCAGUAUGAUUAAUUUUAUUUCAAAUGCAAGAAUGAAGAAAACCUAUUUUUUCUGGAUAUUAUCAUUAAAGGAUGAUCAAAAAAUUAAAUUUGUUUGAAGUUCAUGUGAAUAACAAUUACAGCAUCAAGUUUAAUCUUUUACUUUAAUCCUAUUUACAUGGAAAAUGAGUUUAAAACAAGCUCUUUACUCCCACAGGAUAUAAUAAAUUGUUUUCUCUGC
Long non-coding RNA from Meleagris gallopavo (turkey), 942 nucleotides. RefSeq lists it as uncharacterized. NCBI's taxonomy places the organism in Eukaryota, Metazoa, Chordata, Aves, Galliformes, Phasianidae. The record is from RefSeq and is a predicted model, not a curated record.